This 685-nucleotide ribosomal RNA is filed under the name Nitella sp. 2 AS-2014. Its description in RNAcentral is "SSU rRNA". It matches the Rfam family "Eukaryotic small subunit ribosomal RNA", at positions 591 to 1279 of the family's 1831-position model. Lineage: Eukaryota; Viridiplantae; Streptophyta; Charophyceae; Charales; Characeae. The record is from RNAcentral.
CCAAUAGCGUAUAUUUAAGUUGUUGCAGUUAAAAAGCUCGUAGUUGGAUUUUGGGUGGGAGGGGCCGGUCCGCCUUCGCGGGCGUGCACUGGCCCUUCCGCCUUUCUUGCCGGGGACGUGGUCCUUGCCUUUACUGGCCGGGAUGCGGAGCCGGCGCUGUUACUUUGAAAAAAUUAGAGUGUUCAAAGCAGGCCCACGCUCUGAAUACAUUAGCAUGGAAUAACGCGAUAGGACUCUGGUCCUAUUGUGUUGGUCUUCGGGACCGGAGUAAUGAUCAAUAGGGACAGUUGGGGGCAUUCGUAUUCCAUUGUCAGAGGUGAAAUUCUUGGAUUUAUGGAUGACGAACUACUGCGAAAGCAUUUGCCAAGGAUGUUUUCAUUAAUCAAGAACGAAAGUUGGGGGAUCGAAGACGAUCAGAUACCGUCCUAGUCUCAACCAUAAACGAUGCCGACUAGGGAUUGGCGGAUGUCUAUUUGAUGACUCCGUCAGCACCUUGUGAGAAAUCAAAGUUUUCGGGUUCCGGGGGGAGUAUGGUCGCAAGGCUGAAACUUAAAGGAAUUGACGGAAGGGCACCACCAGGCGUGGAGCCUGCGGCUUAAUUUGACUCAACACGGGGAAACUCACCAGGUCCAGACAUAGCAAGGAUUGACAGAUUGAGAGCUCUUUCUUGAUUCUAUGGGUGGUG